This 496-nucleotide ribosomal RNA is filed under the name uncultured bacterium. RNAcentral describes it as "partial 16S ribosomal RNA". It matches the Rfam family "Bacterial small subunit ribosomal RNA", at positions 29 to 507 of the family's 1533-position model. The record is from RNAcentral.
ACGAACGCUGGCGGCGUGCCUAAUACAUGCCAGUUGAGCGAUGAAGAUUGGUGCUUGCCCCAAUUUGAAGAGCAGCGAACGGGUGAGUAACGCGUGGGGAAUCUGCCUUUGAGCGGGGGACAACAUUUGGAAACGAAUGCUAAUACCGCAUAACAACUUUAAACAUAAGUUUUAAGUUUGAAAGAUGCAAUUGCAUCACUCAAAGAUGAUCCCGCGUUGUAUUAGCUAGUUGGUGAGGUAAAGGCUCACCAAGGCGAUGAUACAUAGCCGACCUGAGAGGGUGAUCGGCCACAUUGGGACUGAGACACGGCCCAAACUCCUACGGGAGGCAGCAGUAGGGAAUCUUCGGCAAUGGACGAAAGUCUGACCGAGCAACGCCGCGUGAGUGAAGAAGGUUUUCGGAUCGUAAAACUCUGUUGGUAGAGAAGAACGUUGGUGAGAGUGGAAAGCUCAUCAAGUGACGGUAACUACCCAGAAAGGGACGGCUAACUACGUG